RNAcentral lists this ribosomal RNA (1511 nucleotides) under Klebsiella pneumoniae. Its description in RNAcentral is "bacterial SSU rRNA". It matches the Rfam family "Bacterial small subunit ribosomal RNA". Lineage: Bacteria; Pseudomonadati; Pseudomonadota; Gammaproteobacteria; Enterobacterales; Enterobacteriaceae. The record is from RNAcentral.
AGAGUUUGAUCAUGGCUCAGAUUGAACGCUGGCGGCAGGCCUAACACAUGCAAGUCGAGCGGUAACACAGAGAGCUUGCUCUCGGGUGACGAGCGGCGGACGGGUGAGUAAUGUCUGGGAAACUGCCUGAUGGAGGGGGAUAACUACUGGAAACGGUAGCUAAUACCGCAUAACGUCGCAAGACCAAAGUGGGGGACCUUCGGGCCUCAUGCCAUCAGAUGUGCCCAGAUGGGAUUAGCUAGUAGGUGGGGUAACGGCUCACCUAGGCGACGAUCCCUAGCUGGUCUGAGAGGAUGACCAGCCACACUGGAACUGAGACACGGUCCAGACUCCUACGGGAGGCAGCAGUGGGGAAUAUUGCACAAUGGGCGCAAGCCUGAUGCAGCCAUGCCGCGUGUGUGAAGAAGGCCUUCGGGUUGUAAAGCACUUUCAGCGGGGAGGAAGGCGNUCGAUUGACGUUACCCGCAGAAGAAGCACCGGCUAACUCCGUGCCAGCAGCCGCGGUAAUACGGAGGGUGCAAGCGUUAAUCGGAAUUACUGGGCGUAAAGCGCACGCAGGCGGUCUGUCAAGUCGGAUGUGAAAUCCCCGGGCUCAACCUGGGAACUGCAUUCGAAACUGGCAGGCUAGAGUCUUGUAGAGGGGGGUAGAAUUCCAGGUGUAGCGGUGAAAUGCGUAGAGAUCUGGAGGAAUACCGGUGGCGAAGGCGGCCCCCUGGACAAAGACUGACGCUCAGGUGCGAAAGCGUGGGGAGCAAACAGGAUUAGAUACCCUGGUAGUCCACGCCGUAAACGAUGUCGAUUUGGAGGUUGUGCCCUUGAGGCGUGGCUUCCGGAGCUAACGCGUUAAAUCGACCGCCUGGGGAGUACGGCCGCAAGGUUAAAACUCAAAUGAAUUGACGGGGGCCCGCACAAGCGGUGGAGCAUGUGGUUUAAUUCGAUGCAACGCGAAGAACCUUACCUGGUCUUGACAUCCACAGAACUUUCCAGAGAUGGAUUGGUGCCUUCGGGAACUGUGAGACAGGUGCUGCAUGGCUGUCGUCAGCUCGUGUUGUGAAAUGUUGGGUUAAGUCCCGCAACGAGCGCAACCCUUAUCCUUUGUUGCCAGCGGUUAGGCCGGGAACUCAAAGGAGACUGCCAGUGAUAAACUGGAGGAAGGUGGGGAUGACGUCAAGUCAUCAUGGCCCUUACGACCAGGGCUACACACGUGCUACAAUGGCAUAUACAAAGAGAAGCGACCUCGCGAGAGCAAGCGGACCUCAUAAAGUAUGUCGUAGUCCGGAUUGGAGUCUGCAACUCGACUCCAUGAAGUCGGAAUCGCUAGUAAUCGUAGAUCAGAAUGCUACGGUGAAUACGUUCCCGGGCCUUGUACACACCGCCCGUCACACCAUGGGAGUGGGUUGCAAAAGAAGUAGGUAGCUUAACCUUCGGGAGGGCGCUUACCACUUUGUGAUUCAUGACUGGGGUGAAGUCGUAACAAGGUAACCGUAGGGGAACCUGCGGUUGGAUCACCU